RNAcentral lists this ribosomal RNA (248 nucleotides) under uncultured Muribaculaceae bacterium. RNAcentral describes it as "partial 16S ribosomal RNA". It matches the Rfam family "Bacterial small subunit ribosomal RNA", at positions 524 to 772 of the family's 1533-position model. Lineage: Bacteria; Pseudomonadati; Bacteroidota; Bacteroidia; Bacteroidales; Muribaculaceae. The record is from RNAcentral.
UACGGAGGAUGCGAGCGUUAUCCGGAUUUAUUGGGUUUAAAGGGUGCGCAGGCGGAGGCGCAAGUCAGCGGUAAAAUCGCGGGGCUCAACCCCGCUCCGCCGUUGAAACUGGGGGACUCGAGUUGGAGAGAAGCAGGCGGAAUGCGCGGUGUAGCGGUGAAAUGCAUAGAUAUCACGCAGAACCCCGAUUGCGAAGGCAGCAUACCGGCGCCCAACUGACGCUCAUGCACGAAAGCGUGGGUAUCGAA